This is a long non-coding RNA of Myotis davidii, 164 nucleotides long. RefSeq lists it as uncharacterized. The transcript is spliced from 2 exons. Lineage: Eukaryota; Metazoa; Chordata; Mammalia; Chiroptera; Vespertilionidae. The record is from RefSeq and is a predicted model, not a curated record.
GGUCUCUACAGCUGGUGUUCUUGCCCUAAGCCUGGCUUGCUACAAUCUAUUCUGUACUCCAGUACGGGAGCCACCCUUUAGAAAUGGAGCACAGCGGCAAAAUGGAUGAAAACCGAUUCGUGGCGGUUACCAGCACAAACGCAGCUAAGAUCUUUAAUCUCUAU